GAGGCGUGCGAGGNCUGUCGCUGACUUUUUGACACAAAAAGUCGUGCACGCCGGAGUGCGUCCUCUCACAUAAAAUCCAUCUCACCCUUUUGUGCACCACCGCGUGGGCACCCUUUGGGAUCGAAUCGAUCCAGGAGGGGGCUUGCGUUUUCACACAAACCCCUUUUAAAAAGUGUAGAAUGACCCCACUUUGCGAUGACACGCAAUCAAUACAACUUUCAACAACGGAUCUCUUGGCUCUCGCAUCGAUGAAGAACGCAGCGAAAUGCGAUACGUAAUGUGAAUUGCAGAAUUCAGUGAAUCAUCGAAUCUUUGAACGCACCUUGCGCCCCUUGGUAUUCCGAGGGGCACACCCGUUUGAGUGUCGUGAAAAUCUCAACCUUCUCGGUUUUCUUCUGGACACCGAAGGAGGCUUGGACUUUGGAGGCCUUUGCUGGCAUCUCUCUCUUCUUGAGAGCCAGCUCCUCUUAAACGAAUUAGCGGGGUCCUCUUUGCCGAUCCUCGACAUGUGAUAAGAUGUUUCCAUGACUUGGUUUCUGGCUCUGUUGCCUUUGGGACCCGCUUCUAACCGUCUCGACGAGACAACGUUUGGGCGCGUCUCCCUUCUCGGGAGACUCUCUCAACCCCACGAACCCUNGAC
This 640-nucleotide ribosomal RNA is filed under the name Lactarius sp. GAL14544. RNAcentral's name for it is "eukaryotic LSU rRNA". The stretch from base 214 to 367 matches the Rfam family "5.8S ribosomal RNA". The record is from RNAcentral. Lineage: Eukaryota; Fungi; Basidiomycota; Agaricomycetes; Russulales; Russulaceae.